Long non-coding RNA from Hemicordylus capensis (graceful crag lizard), 6560 nucleotides. RefSeq lists it as uncharacterized. The transcript is spliced from 5 exons. The record is from RefSeq and is a predicted model, not a curated record. Lineage: Eukaryota; Metazoa; Chordata; Lepidosauria; Squamata; Cordylidae.
GCUCUGCGCCCAGCCCAGCUAGUACUCAGUAUUGUGAUUCACAACCAAACAAAAUAGCUGCAUUGUUAUGGUUUAUAUGCCCCGCUUAGCAGAGAUUUAGUAAUUAUUUUAAACCAAUAGUAAACUUGUUCUUAGGUAUUUUACAAUUCACUAGCUCACCUCACAGAGCACCUGCGCACUAGUACUUGAUUGCUCCCCUCACCCCCUGCCACGGCCCCCCUCACCUCAGAGAUCUCUGCUCCCUCACCUGAGCCACACUCCUGCUCCUCCUCCAUCCCGUUGCUUCCAUCUCCCUCACCACUGUUCCCUCUACGGCGUGUGCAUGUACGCGCACUCACACAUUUUCUGAUGUCCGCUCAGUUCAUUUUAGAUCCCGUUCAGGUUGAAUCAGGAAGGCCCCACUCUGAAUGCAUGUGUGCACACACUGCCUUGAUACUGCCACCCAAAACAAAACUCAUUCCGCACACAAAUGAAAAAAAUUAGAGAGAACACUGCCCCUCACCCCCUCUUGGUCAGUCCUCCAUCCCUUUACUCCAUCCCCCUCACCCCUCUUGGUUGCAGCUGCAGCGUUGCUGGCACCUAUUGGCCAAGCUGCAGCCCAUUAUCACCAGAGAACUCCCCACCCUCACCCAAGCCCUGCUCCUCCUCCUCCGCACAGGAGCAGCGGCAGUGGUUGACUGGGCCCUUCCUCGCUGUCGCCACUGCCAUUGCUGCUCAUUCCCCUCAGGCCGCUUGUCCCCUAAGUUAAGCAAGGUCCGCCCUGGUUGCAUAUGAAUGGGAUGUGUGAUCACUGUAAGAUAUUCCCCUUAGGGGAUGGAAGCACUUUGGGAGGAGCAUCUAGGUUCCAAGUUCCCUCCCUAGCAUCUCCAAGAUAGGGCUGAGAGAGAUUCCUGCCUGCAAACUUGGAGAAGCUGCUGCCAAUCUGUGUAGACAAUACUGAGCUAGAUGGACCAAUGGUCUGAAUCAGUAUAUGGCAGUUUCCUAUGUCUCUUGCCUGCUUGCUUUCCUCCGCCAACAGACUCGGUAGCUCCAAACAACAACAGUGGUUGACUGGGCCUUUCCUUGCUGCUGUCGCCGCCAUGGCUACUCAUUCUCCUCAGGCCACUGACAGGCUCAGGCCUAUCCCUCGACCUUCCUUCUUUCUCUCUUCCCCUCCCUUCUUUCUAGAUCCUUCUCUCUCCUCCUCUGUCUUUCUGCCCCCCCUCCAUCCCUCCCUCCUUUUUCUUUCUCUCUCUCUCUCUUUCUCUAUAUCUCUCCCUUCCCAAGUUAACAGAUCUUGUUCUUCUUGUUUCAUCAUCUAAUCCACGCCAACGGCAGCCUCCUUCUCCUGAAGGGGCUCUUUCGUCCCUCUUGACCCCUCUCUUCGCAGACCCCUCCCCAAUAAAUGAAUGAAUGAAUGAAUGAAUGAAUAAUCCUCUCCUCUACCAUCAAAAACAUCUUCCAACCAGCAACAGUUGCAUUCAAACUAACCUUAACCAUCACAGGCUCCUCCUCCCUAUCUACAUAUGGAAUCCCCACUGCCCAAUCAGGUGCGUCUAAUCGCGAACUCUCACGAGAGCUGCCACACAUGGGAUUAGCCACCGGUACACCUUAGAGAAUUAUAUAGAUAGAUAGAUAUUUUGUUUCUUCAUAUGUACUGAACAUUUAUCCUUAUCCUGCACUCACAAGUCUACAUCACUAAGAGGAUAUAUUCACUAAGGGCAGGGUAACAAACCUUAUCAUAUGAUGGCAGCAUAAGAUAAAGUCCAAACAAAAAAGGGGAAAGAACUCCAAUUUUUACCAUGAAAGUGGUAAUUCAACCAGUGAAAAAUAAAACAAAAACAAAAACACAUCCUUGAAUUUGGAAUGAGCACAGGCAGAGACCUGAGAGAAGCCCAAAACCCAGACAAGAAGACAUGCUCUCUCUCCUGCUGUUGCUCCCCUGCAACUGGUAUUCAGAGACAUCUAUUCACAAGUUGCUCCAUUAAUGGAUAUGCAGCCCAGCAGGCCAUUUCAAGUAAGAACUCACAAAUAGUUUCUAGCACGCUUGGCAUCAGCAUACAGGACACUUAGACAAAUUCUGAGACACCAGUGCCCUAACAGGACCCACUGCCACUGCCACCUGCACUGCCCCUCCUUUAAAAAAUGUCCCCUUCUAAGCAUUCCUCUCAGUGCUGGCAGCUAGACCCAUCAUUUAAAUUCAGGGUUGCACAACUUCAGUCUUCCAGCUGUUUUUGGAUAACAACUCCUAUCAUCCCCAGCAACCAACUGCUAGGGAUGAUGGGAGCUGUAGUCCAACAUCUGCAGGAGGGACAAAGUUGUGCAGCCCUGUUUUAAUUCCUCCAUAAUGUCCCUGACAUAGUUGCUCAAGAGCGAUGAUACGUUGGGGUAUUUUGAGGGCAUUAAAAUGGCAGUUCCAGCCAUGCUGUCACCGAGAAGUGUGCUACUACUGCUGCCUGCCGCUGCUUAGUAACCCCUCUAUGAGUGGGUCCUUGAGGGCUUACCAACUGGUGGUAAGCUGCAGGCAGCAGCAGUGAUUCUUCCUAGGGCUCUUACCAGGUGGUGAGAGCAGCAGUACUUCCCUCAGCACAGGUACAGCAGAGCCACCAUACUCCCAACAUAACUUUGCUCUGCAGUGACAUUACAGUGGGGGCUGCAGCCACACCCCUGCUAGAGAGUGUUUUGCUGUUGCUGUUGGCCAAUGUUGCCGUAAGGCCACCAGGGCUCCAUGAUGCUUGGAGGAGUGUCAGCAUGGCUGGAGGGGCCAUUUUAAUUCCCAAACCAUAUCUUUAACAAAGUGGAGCUGUGUGGGAGCAUUGGGGGUGUAUGUGUCUCUGGCCAUGUCGGCACUAAGAAGAACGCAACUGUUGUGCCGCUGCUGUCCAGUAAGCCUGUUAGGCCCAGAGAUGUAGGAGGGAGCCAACCAGAGGGCAUUUCCCAGAGGGCAUUUCCCCCCUCAAACCUGGAGCAGGUCCCAGCUUCUAGUCUAGUCAAUUUCAUUUCUAGAUUGGGGUGGGGGAUAACUGAAAUUAUUCACUGAAAUUAAGAUUGUUGCUGGCAAGGAAGACUUGCAGACCACCCUGUCAAACAGCAGGUUGGAGGCUUCCUCUCCAGAGGAUCUACUCAUGAGAAAGCCCUUCAGCCUGUUUGCCUGACCUGGCAAGCUAGGAAUCGACUUACAAGGAAUUCACAUGCUGCUUGUGCAUGGCUGACUGCAAAAUAGAAAAAGCAGCACAGAAGCAUAUGAGAGAAGGAAAGGGGAGUUCUUGCCCCAGAAUCCAUUUUGGAAGGGAGUUCUGGCACAGAUACAACCCACUGGGAAAUCUCAUAGGGAAAGUAAUUAAUUUGGAUGAGCUAGGGGUUGCCUAUCUUGGUAGGUGCUUGAUAGGAUUAAGAAAGACAAAGGAGUGAGCAAAAAGGGACAGAAGCUGAUCCCUGUCUAAGCUGGUUUAAUGCCAGUAGACAUGCCAGAUGUUUCAUGUGUAGGCAAUAAAUGUCUAUGGGCUAGAGACAACAGCCAAAGCUGGAAUCGACAAGCUCCAAGCUAAAUGCCUACUAGGAUGGUGUGCCAAACACAGCAACUUCAGAUAUUGUGACUCUGAAACAGUGUGUGAGGUGGCAUUCCAAUGUGAGAAAAGUGGUCUACUGCACCCUACCCUAACACUUUGGGGGAUGAUUGUAUAUUGUAUUUCCUUGCCCCAGAUCACUGAGAUAUAGGCAAUAGGAUAAGGAGAUGAGGCAGGAGCAAGGUGGGUGGGAUGGUGGUUUCUAAAGUAUAUCUGGACUGCAAGCUUUUAUCAGUGUUCCAUUAUUUUAACUAUCACGGCUUUUCUCAAAUAAGCUUGGGAAUUAUAAUUUAGUGAGGGUGCUGAGUGUUAGAGAUCCCUAAAAUACAGUUCCAUGGGUAGAGCAAAUGACUGUUAAACUAGCAUAUCUCUGUAGACUGUAGUAUAGACAGACAUGUCUUAAGAAUCCACUGUGACUGACCUAUAGUUUCUCUUUUCCCCUCACUCUACAAAUAUCCAAAUAAAUCAACAUUCUUAAGAUCAGUCCAUUAUCUCUGUGCAGUCUCCACAUACUGGUGAAACCUGUUCAAGUCAAGAUUUACUCUGAUCGACUAAAAGUAAGCCUGUAAUAAUACCUCAAGCAAAAUAAUCCCAACAAUGUGGGAGGAUUGAAAUCUGGAGAUUGAGAUGCACAUCUCAACCCUCCAUUUCUUAAUGAGAAACUUCUGGCACAUUUUGGACCCCAACCCACCUCUGUGGCUGAACUGCCCAGGCACAUCUCCCUCUGUACAGAAGCAGUCACAGUGCUGCCGUCGCUAUUGUUGCUCCUGCCAGCAGCAUGCUUUUAUGAGCAAAUAUAAAGCAGACAUUUAUGGGCUACUGAGAGGGAGGAUUUAUUGAGCAGAGGCUUUUAAGUCACCAGUUCUAAGGCUUCACCUACUUCCUCCUCUUGGCACAGAGCUGAACAUAUAUGUAAUUUGCAUCUAUAGCAGUUCCUCCCACCUGUCUCCCGGGCCCUGUUAGCUACCCAGGCUCCUUUAUUCUGAGAAGGAGAAAGCAGGCCUUGAAGGCAGUAGAAAGAUCAGCCCUCCCCACUCAGGUCCGCCACAGCAGAUUUUUCAGCAGCAUUGUCGCAUCUUCUUUCUGACCCCCUUGGCGCAUCCAGGAUGAGAAAUGCCAACUCAGCUGUAUCAGGUUUCCCCCUCUCCAUCUACCCCAGGGUUAGUGCUUUUUUCCAAAUGAGCUUCACAUAGUAGAUUAUUACACAACUCAGGUAAAAGGCUCCCAUUUGGGGAUAUAUUUUGGAGCGCAUGGGGCUUGCUACAGGGGUGGGGGGGGAAGCAAUUGUAGGUGGGAGAGGCAAUUCAGCAAAUAGAAAAAGAGGGGGGAAACCUCAUUUCUAUUUGCAGUGGCUAGAGCCAUGCCAACCACAGCCAUGCUAUGCACAGUGUGCAAGCCACUGACUGCUGACCAAUAGCUAACUGGAAGGAGAGAAGCUGAGAAGGGAGGGAGGGGGCCUGGACUCACCUCUUUCACUCUCUGAAGCAUAGGCUGCAGCCAUUCGCUGUUUACUUCACAAUGGCUGUCCAGGAAGGUGAGAAUCUCGGCUGUCGCUGUUUCAGCCCCUCGUACUCGAGAGCGAAUUAGCCCUGAAAGACAGGAGGGAAGCAAAGACAUAGGAGAAGAAAAAGCGUAGGGACGUAUGUUUGCUCUGAAGUAAGUCCAACUCAAGUAAGUUUAAGUAAGUCUUCAGUGGCACUUACUCCCAUGUAAGUGUGCAGAGGAUGCACACUUAAUACCAUGUAAGUCUGCCAGGGAGGUGGUUGGAUCGUUGGAUAAUGAGGGAGUGAAAGGGAUUAUUAAGGAGGAUAUGGAGGUUACAGAGAAGCUAAAUGAGUUCUUUGCAUCUGUCUUCACAGCACAGGAUACUGAGCAUAUACCUGUUCCUGAACCAGGCUUUUCGGGGAUGGAGACUAAAGAACGGAGUCAGAUAGAAGUGACAAGAGAUGAUGUAACUGUCUGGAAAAACUGAAAACUAGCAAAUUGCCAAGGCUGGAUGGCAUCCAUCCAAGAGUCCUCAAAGAACUCAAAUGUGAAAUUGCCAGCCUCCUUGCUAAAAUAUAUAACUUAUCCCUGCAAUCAGGCUCUGUACCAGAGGACCGGAAAGUAGCCAAUGUAACACCGAUUUCCAAAAAGGGAUCCAGGUGUGAUCCGGGAAAUUACAGGCCGGUUAGCUUAACGUUCCAAGCAAAUUGACGGAAAGCAUCCUCAAGGAUAAAAUUGUAAAGCACAUAGAACAACCAGCAUGGCUUCUGCAAAGCUUGGUGUCCUGGCGAGAAACACAAAGGCUACAAGCCAAAGUACUUUUCUUGGCACCUCCAUCCUGGAAUUUUUCCAUUUUCACAGCUCCUCACUGCCUGAAAUAUUGCUUGUGUGGGCAUUUUGUCAGAGGCUCUAUCACUGAGUUGGAAUGACAGUUACCCUUGAUUAACGGCUACUGAGAAAUUGCUGGACAUCUGCUAGAUUACUACAGACCAGGCUAAAUAGACUUAAUGGCUCUUUUAAAGGCGGGUAAAGAUGUUGAAUUAUGAACAGCUAUAGGGAGUGCAUUCCACAGAGAAGACCCGCUCGUAAGUUGCAGCCAGAUGAGAUGGUGGCAUCCGGAGACAGACCACGCUUGAUGACCUCAAUAUGCGGUGGGGAUCAUGCAGAAGAAGGCGCUCUCCCAGGGGAAGGAAGGGAGAUCUGUGAGUGCUGCUGUUCGCACGGGGACCUAUCUAGUUAUCCACGACCAGAGUGUGUUGUCCGUGUCAACUGAUGUAACUGCAACCUGUGAAUAAAGGGACUUCAGGAUGCAUCUGGCCAACAUGUGAAUGCAGCACCUCCAUUCCAGAGGAGAUGUGUGUUAAAGGGCUUUAAAAGCCUCGUGUGAAAAAACUCCCAGAAUCAAACUUUACUGAAUUUGUUCAGAAUUCUGAAAAAACAAACAUAGGCUCACCCUGCAUUGUUGAAAGUCUCCUUUGCUAAUCUGCAGUGAGAGGGCCAUUUUAAUAAUUAGCAUUGCUACACUGUAUU